UUUUUCAAUUAAAGGUGACCUCUUCUUGAAAGUUACUGUUUAGGGAUGGGCUUGCGGACCAUUAGCUUGUUGGUGAGGUAACGGCUCACCAAGGCUGCGAUGGUUAGCCGACCUGAGAGGGUGAUCGGCCACAUUGGGACUGAGAUACGGCCCAGACUCCUACGGGAGGCAGCAGUAGGGAAUUUUGCGCAAUGGACGAAAGUCUGACGCAGCAACGCCGCGUGAGGGAUGAAGGCCUUCGGGUUGUAAACCUCUGUUGAGUGAGAAGAAAAGCAUGCGGGAUAAUACUCCGCGUGUCUGACGGUAUCACUCGAGGAAGCCCCGGCUAACUACGUGCCAGCAGCCGCGGUAAUACGUAGGGGGCAAGCGUUGUUCGGAAUUACUGGGUGUAAAGGGAGCGUAGGUGGAAAGGUAAGUUAGGAGUGAAAGAUACGGGCUUAACCCGUAGUCCGCUUUUAAUACUGUCUUUCUUGAGUAUGGGAGAGGAUGACGGAAUUCCUGGUGUAGCGGUGGAAUGCGUAGAUAUCAGGAAGAACACCGGUUGCGAAGGCGGUCAUCUGGCCCAAUACUGGCGCUGAGGCUCGAAAGCUGGGGGAGCGAACAGGAUUAGAUACCCUGGUAGUCCCAGCCGUAAACGAUGGACACUAGAUGCUGGAAGAGUCAAUCCUUUCAGUGUCGUAGCUAACGCGUUAAGUGUCCCGCCUGGGGAGUACGCUCGCAAGGGUGAAACUCAAAGGAAUUGACGGGGGCCCGCACAAGCGGUGGAGCAUGUGCUUUAAUUCGAUGCAACGCGAAGAACCUUACCUGGGUUUGACAUGGGGGUGAACGUUCCCAGAGAUGGGAGCCUUUCCUUCGGGAACACCCCACACAGGUGCUGCGUGGUUGUCGUCAGCUCGUGUCGUGAGAUGUUGGGUUAAGUCCCGCAACGAGCGCAACCCCUGUCCUUAGUUGCCAGCGGAUAAUGCCGGGAACUCUAAGGAGACUGCCUGGUAUAACCAGGAGCAAGGUGGGGAUGACGUCAAAUCAUCAUGGCCCUUACGUCCAGGGCAAGACACGUGCUACAAUGGCCGGUACAACGGGAUGCGAACUCGCGAG
RNAcentral lists this ribosomal RNA (1095 nucleotides) under uncultured organism. Its description in RNAcentral is "bacterial SSU rRNA". It matches the Rfam family "Bacterial small subunit ribosomal RNA", at positions 193 to 1261 of the family's 1533-position model. The record is from RNAcentral.